This 77-nucleotide transfer RNA is filed under the name marine sediment metagenome. Its description in RNAcentral is "tRNA-Pro". It matches the Rfam family "tRNA". Rfam says of the family: Transfer RNA (tRNA) molecules are approximately 80 nucleotides in length. Their secondary structure includes four short double-helical elements and three loops (D, anti-codon, and T loops). Further hydrogen bonds mediate the characteristic L-shaped molecular structure. tRNAs have two regions of fundamental functional importance: the anti-codon, which is responsible for specific mRNA codon recognition, and the 3' end, to which the tRNAs corresponding amino acid is attached (by aminoacyl-tRNA synthetases). tRNAs cope with the degeneracy of the genetic code in two manners: having more than one tRNA (with a specific anti-codon) for a particular amino acid; and 'wobble' base-pairing, i.e. permitting non-standard base-pairing at the 3rd anti-codon position. The record is from RNAcentral.
CAGGGUGUAGUUCAGUCUGGAAGAAUCCUCCCCUCGGAAGGGAGAGGUCGUUGGUUCAAAUCCAACCACCCUGACCA